GCUGAUAUGGCCGAGUCGUUAAGGCGAGUGAUUUGAAUUCUCAACAUCACUUGGGCAUUGCCCGCGUAGGUUCAAAUCCUGCUGUCAGCG
This 90-nucleotide transfer RNA is filed under the name Pisolithus tinctorius. Its description in RNAcentral is "tRNA-Ser". It matches the Rfam family "tRNA". Rfam says of the family: Transfer RNA (tRNA) molecules are approximately 80 nucleotides in length. Their secondary structure includes four short double-helical elements and three loops (D, anti-codon, and T loops). RNAcentral also lists the same sequence under 2 other names. Lineage: Eukaryota; Fungi; Basidiomycota; Agaricomycetes; Boletales; Pisolithaceae. The record is from RNAcentral.